RNAcentral lists this ribosomal RNA (484 nucleotides) under uncultured bacterium. RNAcentral describes it as "partial 16S ribosomal RNA". It matches the Rfam family "Bacterial small subunit ribosomal RNA", at positions 30 to 507 of the family's 1533-position model. The record is from RNAcentral.
AUUGAACGCUGGCGGCAGGCCUAACACAUGCAAGUCGAGCGGAUGAAGGGAGCUUGCUCCUGGAUUCAGCGGCGGACGGGUGAGUAAUGCCUAGGAAUCUGCCUGGUCGUGGGGGAUAACGUCCGGAAACGGGCGCUAAUACCGCAUACGUCCUGAGGGAGAAAGUGGGGGAUCUUCGGACCUCACGCUAUCAGAUGAGCCUAGGUCGGAUUAGCUAGUUGGUGGGGUAAAGGCCUACCAAGGCGACGAUCCGUAACUGGUCUGAGAGGAUGAUCAGUCACACUGGAACUGAGGCACGGUCCAGACUCCUACGGGAGGAAGCAGUGGGGAAUAUUGGACGAUGGGGGAAAGCCUGAUACAGCCAUGCCGCGUGUGUGAAGAAGGUCUUCGGAUUGUAAAGCACUUUAAGUUGGGAGGAAGGGCAGUAAGUUAAUACCUUGCUGUUUUGACGGUACCAACAGAAUAAGCACCGGCUAACUUCGUG